This 253-nucleotide ribosomal RNA is filed under the name uncultured bacterium. Its description in RNAcentral is "partial 16S ribosomal RNA". It matches the Rfam family "Bacterial small subunit ribosomal RNA", at positions 524 to 776 of the family's 1533-position model. The record is from RNAcentral.
CACGUAGGGCGCAAGCGUUGUCCGGAAUUAUUGGGCGUAAAGAGCUCGUAGGUGGUUUGUUACGUCUGCUGUGAAAACCUAGGGCUUAACCCUGGGCUUGCAGUGGAUACGGGCAGACUAGAGGUAGGUAGGGGAGAAUGGAAUUCCUGGUGUAGCGGUGAAAUGCGCAGAUAUCAGGAGGAACACCGGUGGCGAAGGCGGUUCUCUGGGCCUUACCUGACACUGAGGAGCGAAAACGUGGGGAGCGAACAGG